RNAcentral lists this ribosomal RNA (228 nucleotides) under uncultured bacterium. RNAcentral's name for it is "partial 16S ribosomal RNA". It matches the Rfam family "Bacterial small subunit ribosomal RNA", at positions 524 to 750 of the family's 1533-position model. The record is from RNAcentral.
UACAGAGGGUGCAAGCGUUUGUUCGGAAUUAUUGGGCGUAAAGCGCGUGUAGGCGGCAGGGCAUGUCGGAUGUGAAAUCCCGUGGCUCAACCACGGAAGUGCACCCGAAACUGCCCAGCUGGAGUCUCGGAGAGGAAGGCGGAAUGCUUGGUGUAGAGGUGAAAUUCGUAGAUAUCAAGCGGAACACCGGUGGCGAAGGCGGCCUUCUGGACGAUGACUGACGCUGAG